Molecule: ribosomal RNA, 781 nt
Filed under: uncultured Neocallimastigales
Lineage: Eukaryota; Fungi; Neocallimastigomycota; Neocallimastigomycetes; Neocallimastigales
Description: partial large subunit ribosomal RNA
Rfam family: Eukaryotic large subunit ribosomal RNA
Source: RNAcentral
CAUCACUACGCUAGAUGCAUAUCAAUAAGCGGAGGAAAAGAAACUAACUAGGAUUCCCUUAGUAACGGCGAGUGAAGCGGGAAGAGCUCAAAUUUGAAAUCUUCAAGGUUCUACCUUGACGAAUUGUAGUUUAAAGAGGUGUUUUCUGUUGGAGUUUUGGUAAAAGUUCUUUGGAAUAGGACAUCAUAGAGGGUGAGAAUCCCGUAUUUGACCAUUUACUUCCAGCUGUGUGAUACACUUUCAAAGAGUCGGAUUGUAUGGGAAUGCAGUCCAAAAUGGGUGGUAAAUUUCAUCUAAAGCUAAAUAUUGGCGAGAGACCGAUAGCGAACAAGUACCGUGAGGGAAAGAUGAAAAGAACUUUGAAAAGAGAGUUAAACAGUACGUGAAAUUGUCAAAAGGGAAGCGUUUGACACCAGUGUUGUUUUCUCGAAAAUCAAUUAAAAAUGGCCGGAUUUUGUGUUGUAUUGACCUUAUAAGCUUUCUGCACUCUUUUCUUGUCUUUUUUAAUGCACUUUUCGUUUAACAAGUCAACAUCAAUUUCUUUUGUUGUAAAAGAGUCAUUGGAAGGUGGCUUUCAUUUCGGUAGAAAGUGUUUAUAGCCUUUGAUCUCUGCAAUCCGGAGAGACUGAGGUCUGCAGCGUAGACUCUUCGGGGUUAGAUACAUUUGUGCUAAGCUAUAGCUUUUUAUAGACAACAUUGUUGACUACGAUUUAAGUCAUUGUAGCUUACUCGCUUAUGCUAUUUUACCUACGCUUAGGAUGUUGACGAGACUGUCGAUCUC